AAUUACUAAGUUACUUUUAUAUUUUUGUAAGUAUUUGAUCCAACUAAUGAUGUUGCUUUAUUUUUGAAGGUUGGAUUAGCUGCUAUCCUAAAGGGCUUUGUCCUAACAUGUCAAGAUGGAACAACAUAGCUCUCUAUGUCCUUGCACUAAUUUCAAGCAUAGUUUUAAGCAUGGCCAGUAUCAAUGUUUGUACAGAGUAGUAUGGCUGAGGAAUACUAAUGCUUCUGGGCUUUGGUGACAUUGAUCCCAGACAAUUUUACUAGAAUCGAUCUCUCUGAC
Molecule: long non-coding RNA, 279 nt
Organism: Zingiber officinale
Lineage: Eukaryota; Viridiplantae; Streptophyta; Magnoliopsida; Zingiberales; Zingiberaceae
Exons: 3
Source: RefSeq, a predicted model, not a curated record